Molecule: ribosomal RNA, 345 nt
Filed under: uncultured bacterium
Lineage: Bacteria
Description: partial 16S ribosomal RNA
Rfam family: Bacterial small subunit ribosomal RNA
Source: RNAcentral
CCUACGGGUGGCAGCAGUGAGGAAGAGUGGUCAAGGGGCGCGAGCCUGAACCAGCCAAGUAGCGUGAAGGAUGACGGCCCUACGGGAUGUAAACUUCUGUUAUAAAGGAAUAAAGUGAGGCACGUGGGCCGUUUUGUAUGUACUUUAUGAAUAAGGAUCGGCUAACUCCGUGCCAGCAGCCGCGGUAAUACGGAGGAUCCGAGCGUUAUCCGGAUUUAUUGGGUUUAUAGGGAGCGUAGAGGGGUUGUUAAGUCAGUUGUGAAAGUUUGCGGCUCAACCGUACAAUGGCCAUUGAUACUGGCAGUCUUGAGUACAGUUGCGGUCUGCGUAAUUCGUGUUGUAGCG